Long non-coding RNA from Mauremys mutica (yellowpond turtle), 625 nucleotides. RefSeq lists it as uncharacterized. The transcript has 3 exons. The record is from RefSeq and is a predicted model, not a curated record. Lineage: Eukaryota; Metazoa; Chordata; Testudines; Geoemydidae.
CCUGACUGGAAGAGUUUGCAGUCUAAACAAACAGGACCAGAAAAGGGUGGGAGAAAGGAAGUAUCAUUAUCUCUUUUACAGAUCAGGAACUGAAGCAGAGACGAAGUACCUGCCCAAGGUGACGCAAUGAGCCCUUCGUCGUGAAUCUUGGAUUGUCUGAGAAGAUUUCCAAGCCCAGCAAUCAGGCUACAAGAAGACAGUCUGCUUACAAAACAGCUGCUGCACCUGCAGACUUCAGGCUCUCCUCCUCCACACCCACAAAAUGCCUGAGCCAGAUAAGGAGGAGAAAGAAGAGGACUCAGGAUGACAUGUUCAUCGAUAUCCUGCAGACAGUGCUGCAUCAGGCUGUGAGCACAAAGCCUGGAGGAUGAAUACUGGGGACAGCCUGGAGAAGGAGAGUGGUAAGGAGAAGGGCCCAGGAGUCCCAUCAGGAAAAGGAGAGGGAGAUGCACCAAGACAUAAUGUGGCUCCUGAGGCACCAAACACAGAUGCUUCAGAUUCUGAUGGACCUGCAGGGUCAGCAAUCCCUGGCUGACCUCCCUGUGCAGCCCACUGAGAGAUCAAUAACGGGGCUUACCUAUACCCCACCCCCAACAUUCCACAUGGCCUCAGGUUGCUGCACUAC